RNAcentral lists this unclassified non-coding RNA (334 nucleotides) under soil metagenome. RNAcentral's name for it is "partial contains 5.8S ribosomal RNA, internal transcribed spacer 2, and large subunit ribosomal RNA". The stretch from base 1 to 120 matches the Rfam family "5.8S ribosomal RNA", at positions 35 to 154 of the family's 154-position model. The record is from RNAcentral.
GAUGAAGAACGUAGUGAAAUGCGAUAAGUAGUGUGAAUUGCAGAAUUCAGUGAAUCAUCGAAUCUUUGAACGCACAUUGCGCCUGCCAGCACUCUGGCAGGCAUGCCUGUUCGAGCGUCAUUUCAACCAUCAAGCCCUAGGCUUGCGUUGGAGCCCUGCGGCUGCCGCAGGCCCCUAAAAGCAGUGGCGGGCUCGCUAUCACACCGAGUGCAGUAGAUUACUCUUCGCUCAGGGCGUGUGGCGGGUUCCAGCCGUGAAACCCCCUACUUCUCAAGGUUGACCUCGGAUCAGGUAGGAAUACCCGCUGAACUUAAGCAUAUCAAUAAGCGGAGGA